Molecule: ribosomal RNA, 424 nt
Filed under: Synechococcus sp. MACC18
Lineage: Bacteria; Bacillati; Cyanobacteriota; Cyanophyceae; Synechococcales; Synechococcaceae
Description: bacterial SSU rRNA
Rfam family: Bacterial small subunit ribosomal RNA
Source: RNAcentral
GGGGAAUUUUCCGCAAUGGGCGAAAGCCUGACGGAGCAACGCCGCGUGAGGGAUGAAGGCCUCUGGGCUGUAAACCUCUUUUCUCAAGGAAGAAGAUCUGACGGUACUUGAGGAAUAAGCCACGGCUAAUUCCGUGCCAGCAGCCGCGGUAAUACGGGAGUGGCAAGCGUUAUCCGGAAUUAUUGGGCGUAAAGCGUCCGCAGGCGGCCUUUCAAGUCUGCUGUUAAAACGUGGAGCUUAACUCCAUCAUGGCAGUGGAAACUGUUGGGCCUGAGUGUGGUAGGGGCAGAGGGAAUUCCCGGUGUAGCGGUGAAAUGCGUAGAUAUCGGGAAGAACACCAGUGGCGAAGGCGCUCUGCUGGGCCAUAACUGACGCUCAUGGACGAAAGCCAGGGGAGCGAAAGGGAUUAGAUACCCCUGUAGUC